This 465-nucleotide ribosomal RNA is filed under the name Vreelandella stevensii. RNAcentral's name for it is "partial 16S ribosomal RNA". It matches the Rfam family "Bacterial small subunit ribosomal RNA", at positions 338 to 795 of the family's 1533-position model. Lineage: Bacteria; Pseudomonadati; Pseudomonadota; Gammaproteobacteria; Oceanospirillales; Halomonadaceae. The record is from RNAcentral.
CCUACGGGGGGCUGCAGUGGGGAAUAUUGGACAAUGGGGGCAACCCUGAUCCAGCCAUGCCGCGUGUGUGAAGAAGGCCCUCGGGUUGUAAAGCACUUUCAGUGAGGAAGAACGCCUGGUGGUUAAUACCCAUCAGGAAAGACAUCACUCACAGAAGAAGCACCGGCUAACUCCGUGCCAGCAGCCGCGGUAAUACGGAGGGUGCGAGCGUUAAUCGGAAUUACUGGGCGUAAAGCGCGCGUAGGUGGCUUGAUAAGCCGGUUGUGAAAGCCCCGGGCUCAACCUGGGAACGGCAUCCGGAACUGUCAAGCUAGGGUGCAGGAGAGGAAGGUAGAAUUCCCGGUGUAGCGGUGAAAUGCGUAGAGAUCGGGAGGAAUACCAGUGGCGAAGGCGGCCUUCUGGACUGACACUGACACUGAGGUGCGAAAGCGUGGGUAGCAAACAGGAUUAGAUACCCUAGUAGUC